GCUUCAAACCACGGGAGUCCGGUGCGCCGGGCUGAGAGGAAGGCCGAAGCCUUCGACCGUCGAACCUGAUCCGGGUCAUGCCGGCGCAGGGAGCGAUCUCACCCGUGCC
This 109-nucleotide non-coding RNA is filed under the name Agrococcus jejuensis. RNAcentral's name for it is "TPP sequence". It matches the Rfam family "TPP riboswitch aptamer (THI element)". Rfam says of the family: Vitamin B(1) in its active form thiamin pyrophosphate (TPP) is an essential coenzyme that is synthesised by coupling of pyrimidine and thiazole moieties in bacteria. The previously detected thiamin-regulatory element, thi box was extended, resulting in a new, highly conserved RNA secondary structure, the THI element, which is widely distributed in eubacteria and also occurs in some archaea. The record is from RNAcentral. Lineage: Bacteria; Bacillati; Actinomycetota; Actinomycetes; Micrococcales; Microbacteriaceae.